GCUACAGGCUUAACACAUGCAAGUCGAGGGGCAGCAUGGUCUUAGCUUGCUAAGGCCGAUGGCGACCGGCGCACGGGUGAGUAACACGUAUCCAACCUGCCGUCUACUCUUGGACAGCCUUCUGAAAGGAAGAUUAAUACAAGAUGGCAUCAUGAGUCCGCAUGUUCACAUGAUUAAAGGUAUUCCGGUAGACGAUGGGGAUGCGUUCCAUUAGAUAGUAGGCGGGGUAACGGCCCACCUAGUCUUCGAUGGAUAGGGGUUCUGAGAGGAAGGUCCCCCACAUUGGAACUGAGACACGGUCCAAACUCCUACGGGAGGCAGCAGUGAGGAAUAUUGGUCAAUGGGCGAGAGCCUGAACCAGCCAAGUAGCGUGAAGGAUGACUGGCCUAUGGGUUGUAAACUUCUUUUAUAAAGGAAUAAAGUCGGGUAUGGAUACCCGUUUGCAUGUACUUUAUGAAUAAGGAUCGGCUAACUCCGUGCCAGCAGCCGCGGUAAUACGGAGGAUCCGAGCGUUAUCCGGAUUUAUUGGGUUUAAAGGGAGCGUAGAUGGAUGUUUAAGUCAGUUGUGAAAGUUUGCGGCUCAACCGUAAAAUUGCAGUUGAUACUGGAUAUCUUGAGUGCAGUUGAGGCAGGCGGAAUUCGUGGUGUAGCGGUGAAAUGCUUAGAUAUCACGAAGAACUCCGAUUGCGAAGGCAGCCUGCUAAGCUGCAACUGACAUUGAGGCUCGAAAGUGUGGGUAUCAAACAGGAUUAGAUACCCUGGUAGUCCACACGGUAAACGAUGAAUACUCGCUGUUUGCGAUAUACAGCAAGCGGCCAAGCGAAAGCGUUAAGUAUUCCACCUGGGGAGUACGCCGGCAACGGUGAAACUCAAAGGAAUUGACGGGGGCCCGCACAAGCGGAGGAACAUGUGGUUUAAUUCGAUGAUACGCGAGGAACCUUACCCGGGCUUAAAUUGCAGAUGAAUUACGGUGAAAGCCGUAAGCCGCAAGGCAUCUGUGAAGGUGCUGCAUGGUUGUCGUCAGCUCGUGCCGUGAGGUGUCGGCUUAAGUGCCAUAACGAGCGCAACCCUUGUUGUCAGUUACUAACAGGUUCCGCUGAGGACUCUGACAAGACUGCCAUCGUAAGAUGUGAGGAAGGUGGGGAUGACGUCAAAUCAGCACGGCCCUUACGUCCGGGGCUACACACGUGUUACAAUGGGGGGUACAGAGGGCCGCUACCACGCGAGUGGAUGCCAAUCCCCAAAACCUCUCUCAGUUCGGACUGGAGUCUGCAACCCGACUCCACGAAGCUGGAUUCGCUAGUAAUCGCGCAUCAGCCACGGCGCGGUGAAUACGUUCCCGGGCCUUGUACACACCGCCCGUCAAGCCAUGGGAGCCGGGGGUACCUGAAGUGCGUAACCGCGAGGAGCGCCCUAGGGUAAAACUGGUGACUGGGGCUA
Molecule: ribosomal RNA, 1440 nt
Filed under: uncultured organism
Description: SSU rRNA
Rfam family: Bacterial small subunit ribosomal RNA
Source: RNAcentral